GAGGGCCGGGCCUGCGCCUCCGACGCUGACUUCCUCAGCGCAGCCACCACUGUCUCCGGUGGCAAGUCGACCAGCUCCUCCCACACGGAUUCUGUGUAGAAAUCCACGGACAAGGCUUUGCUUUUCGAAGAAAGCUGAGAAUACAGCAAAGUUACAAGAAAUUGCUACGGAAGGAAAAGAAGCCUCAAACGUCACUGGAAUCUCAAUUCACAGAUCGAUACCCAGAUAAUCUGAAACAUCUCUAUUUAGCUGAAGAGGAAAGACUUAGGAAGCAACCAAGAAAAGUCGACCAUCCUUUGUCAGAACAAGUUCACCAGCCUUUGCUUGAAGAACAGCGUAGCAUUGACCAGCCUUUAUUUGAAGAUCAGUGUAGCUUUGACCAGCCUCAGCCAGAACAAUGUAUUAAAACAGUGAACUGCUUUACAAUUCCAAAGAAAAAUAAAAAGAAAACAUCAAAUCAAAAAGCACAAGAAGAAUAUGAACAGGUACAAGCUAAACGUGCUGCUAAGAAACAAGAAUUCGAGAGGAGAAAACAGGAGAGAGAAGAAGCCCAAAGGCAGUACAAAAAGAAGAAAAUGGAAGUGUUUAAAAUAUUGAACAAAAAGACUAAAAAGGGCCAACCAAACUUGAAUGUACAAAUGGAGUACCUUCUUCAAAAAAUACAAGAAAAAUGUUAAACAUUUUAUUCCUACAGGUUAAAAUAUCUGCUGCCUAUUAGGUUCUUCUGUGACAAGUGCCUCCCAGCAGUGAACUAAAUUUGUCGACAUAAACUGGAUUGCUAAACUAUGCUAAAUAUAAGAUGUUCACAUAUUUUUAUUAUGGUAAAAAGUUUUCUAAAUAUGUUCUACAUAUGUUUCUUAUUUAUUUGCCUCUGAAGGAAGGUUGGCCUGAAGAACUGAAAGAACCUCUUAUUUGCCAGACAGGCCCAAGCAUGUAGUACUUUUGUACCACAUGAGAUUUAUAUGAAAUAAAUUUUUUUAAAA
This 983-nucleotide small RNA is filed under the name Pongo abelii (Sumatran orangutan). RNAcentral describes it as "processed transcript". Lineage: Eukaryota; Metazoa; Chordata; Mammalia; Primates; Hominidae. The record is from RNAcentral.